Molecule: long non-coding RNA, 1909 nt
Filed under: Marmota monax (woodchuck)
Lineage: Eukaryota; Metazoa; Chordata; Mammalia; Rodentia; Sciuridae
Source: RNAcentral
AAAGUGAUCAUAGGUUUUUUUUUUUUUUUUUCUGUGACCUCUCUUAUUUGCAGAUAGUCGCCUUCCAGCUGUGUGCCCAAAUGGUCCUUCCUCUGUGCAUGUGCUACCCCAAAUAUUUCUUUGUACGUCCAUUUUUUUUUUUUAAUUUUGCAAGGAACCCAGUCUUAUUUAUUUAGGCCACACCUAUGAAUUGAUUUUUCUUUUAGUGACUUCUAAAGGCUUUGUCUCCAAAUGCUGUCAUAUUUUGAGCUACUGGUGGUUAAGACUUUAAUAUGAGUUUUGGAUGAAGACAGUGUAGCCCAUACCAUGAAGUAUGAUGGACAAAUUGAGAAGGUGUAUGCACACUUGAUAUCUGCUGGGAGGCAGUGUAUACAUGAUCCAGCUUAGGCUGACAAGCCAUCAGGGUAGAUGAAUAAAGCACAAUUAUUCUAGGAACAUGUAUGCAACACAUACAGGUCCACGGCUUCUAGAGCAUCACUCAGGCCCAGACUGUCAGCACAGCAUAUCUGUGGGAGGUAACAGAAUCUCUGCAUGUGAGUCCUAGGGUCCAUGUUUCUGGAACCCAUCUUUACUAUGAUUACACAAAUCUUAACUCUAGCCUGAGUCCAAACACAGGCACUGCUAUGUUCAAGUUAAUAUAAAAUAAAAGCAUUCAUGGGAAUUGUCAGACUUUUUCCAACAAAUGUAGAAUCUCUAGUUUUAAAAACUGCUCAAACAUUACAUAGUAAAUGUUUACAGAAUUAGAGACAGAAAUUAAAUUUAAAGAUCAAGUUAAACACAAAAGAACACUAUUUUUAUAUGAUGCUUUAGAGGAACAGGUAGUUUAGGAAAAGAGUUUUAAAAUUAAUUCUCUCUGCAAUUAGAAGUACAGCAAGAAAAUAUAUUAAUGGAAAUUUUUAAUUAUACAGAAGAAAACACUUCUGUUUCUUGUACCACCUCCACAGAUUACAAGAAAUUGACAAUGCGUGUGUGUGUGUCUUUUUUUUUUUAAUUACAAAUAGACAACUCAGUCUUCUCCCAGAAUGGAGGACUCUUGGGGUGGUUUUGACAGAGAUAUACUCAAUAAAAAGGAACUGUUAACUUUCUUCCUAGUUCCUGCCUCUUACUACACCUUCUAGAGCUUAACAUAGCUCUAGGAGGUGGUUAAACAACCUUUGGCCUAGAAGAUAUCAAUAAUCAUAUAAAAUAAAACAAAUUAACUGAAAAAGUCUAAAAAUGUAUGAAACUGGUUGAUUAUGAAGAGGUAAAAAUGAAAAAAAAAACGAGAUAAUUAAUGAACUUAAAAUGGAGACAUCAAGGGACUGGAGUUUUAAAGUAAGAAGUUAGGAUAAGUGAGAAUAUGGAUAGUGCAGAACCAUAACAAUACUUAUGGAUCAGAAGUGCAUCAUCUCAGUUUAGGAAUUUGGAGUCAAGAUAGACCUCAGAAGUUAUGAUUUUUGAUCACGAACUUUAUGUAGGUAAAUUGAAAAGCAACAUGUAACUAUAUUUAUUUUGUUGAAUCCAUCUGGAAUUCCCUCAGUUUAACAAUGGCCACAUUUCUCAUUUCUUUUGUUUUCAAUAUCCCUGCCCUAAUUUAUUACAAAAUUUUACAACAAAUAGUUAAAUUUCUUACUAUAUUAACUACAUCAUAUUAUAUGUGUGGUUGACCUUACCUUGCCAAUAAUAAUAAUAACAAUCCUAAUCAUAAAAAAUCAUCAAGAGACAAAUUCAUCUAAAGAACUGGAAAAUUUUAAAGUGACACAACUAUUGUGGAAGCUAACACAAAAGAAAGGUCUGUGCCUUUUUGCUACAUACUUGAGAAAAUUUUGGAAUUUAGAGUUGAAACUUGAAAAGUUCUUGGAAUUUUUAAGCCCACGAAUUUUGAGUCUAAAGAAAAUGGUAGAUUUGUUAAGGGGACAUCAAAAAAAAA